RNAcentral lists this long non-coding RNA (1637 nucleotides) under Marmota monax (woodchuck). The record is from RNAcentral. Lineage: Eukaryota; Metazoa; Chordata; Mammalia; Rodentia; Sciuridae.
AUAAAGUAUGCAACUAUAAGUAUAGCAAGUACAAACGUGAACUUCCCCCACAUUUUCCCUUUUCUUCCAAACCCUCUUUCGUGUUAACAUUGUCACUACUUUGACUUUUACCUGUAGGUGGAUGAAGUCACGACAAAAGAAGUUAAGCUGCCAGCAGAAAUGGAAGGGAAAAAGAUGGCUGUAACCCGGACCAGAACGAAGCCAGUACUCUUACACUGUGAUAUCAUUGGGGAUGCUUUCUGGAAGGAACAUCCAGAAAUCCUUUAUGAAGACAGCUGACACUCUGCUCUUUAAUUCUGCUGUGUUUAACCAUGCAAGGCUCCCAGGUCUUCUUGCCUUAGGUGGCCCUAGCAUUCCUGCCACCCAGAACUGUACCAGAAAUGACAUGACUUGAGUUAGGAGGGAGCAGGGAAGGAAGGAAUUGAUGGGGGUGGUAUAUCUUGUUCUCUUAAGCAGAACACCUUUUUUGCAAUGUUAGAACAUGAUUUCUGUGGGUUUUUUUCCAAAAUCGUGGUACUAUUUUUAUAAAGUAAGAACUAUUUAAUGCCUUGUGAGAUGAGUCAUUUUUAGAUUGUGGCAUAAGCCUUAUAAAAAUCUGUCAGCUCUUUUCACCUAUGAUAGAAAUGAAGCCCAAACUUUACUCUCACCCACAUAUUCUUAACUAGAGAACCCAGUGACUUUGAAUAUCUCACUUCUGUACCCAUGUACUUGGAUAAUCUUGAUAGACCUGAAGAUAAAUAUGAGUUAAAACCUGCCUGGUGCCUCUGAAUUCCAGAUAUUCCAGGGAAAACUCAGGGCUUUGUGCAAGUCUCCAAAUCAGCAGUUUUGGCUGAAUAAAUGAGUAGUGGUAUUAGAUACCCUUGUGUACACCCUCCAAGGACUGAUUUUAUGGAGUUGCCAGCAUAAUGAUGAUCAUCAUCUUGCCGGAAGCAUAGGCUAAAGCCACUUACCUUUUUCUAAGUACAUGUGAGACAUAUAUAUAUAUAUAUAUAUAUAUAUAUAUAUAUAUAUAUAUAUAUAUGAUAAAGAAAAUAUGUGAGAAUGAGUAAAAAUGGAGACCAUUUUUUACUCCGUGUCCUCUAGAUACUUCCGUUUUAAAAGCUGUCUUCCAGUUCGGCUGCCUGAAAGAUUCAAAAGUAGUCUCUAUGGAAUCAGAAAAUGACAUUUGAAUUCAAGAGCAGAGGGGUCAACAUAGCCCUUGGGGCAGCUGUCAAAUGAGUCCUACUAACUCCACCUCCUAAUGGGCCAAUGGAGAUAGGAGACCUGCAGAGGUGAUGGUAUGCUGGGAGCUGUUGAAGUGUGAAAGGGGGCGGGUAAGUCAUGGGGAUGGGUGGUGAGUAGCUUUACAUUCCUCUUGUCCUUACUUUGUAUAUUAGAGGAAGAAGAUUAUUUGGCUCAAUUAAGAUUUAAUUAAGAGACAGCCCAUGUCCCAGUUGCUGGUCUUGCAUUGCAGAAUUUACAGCCAAGAAGAAAAUGUAUUUUUGAAAGUGUGACGGAUGGCCUCAUCCUUCAGUAAUUGACAUCCCAUCUGUCGAUGCCAUUUUUUUCCUUCCUGUCCCCCCACCCCCUCCACAGGAAAAGAACAAGUAUCUCAUGUUUGGUAAUUGCUAAAAUGUCUGAAAAAAAAAAAAAUAAAG